CCUGCCUUGGCCUCCCAAAGUGCUGGGAACACAGGCGUGAGCCACCAUGCCCGGCCUCAAGAAUCUGUUCUUCAUGGGUUAUCUACUGUUUCAUUACAACAAUCAUCUUGUGAGUUAGGUAUUAUCCCCAUUUUAUACCCAGAGAAACUAAGCCUUAGAAAGGUAACUAAGGAUACACACACACAGAGACACUUUUAAUACGUAGAUAGGUGAGUAACAGAGCUAGUACUCUAACCCUGGUCUGAUUCCAGAGCCUAUACAGCCUCUCCUGGUAAGGCAGAUGUUAACAUUUUGAAGCAAUGGUAAAUUAAAGGAUGAAAUAACUCCUGGCCUUAAGUCCCUGCUAUCCAUAGCCAGUGGGCAUCUGCUCACUCCAUGCCAUAGGUGCUUGAUGGCAGAGGCAAACUGCAUAGCAACAUAUGGUGAAAAUGGACUUUUUACAGUAAUACUGAAUAGAAAUACCUAGAAUAGUCUCUCUCCUUAUAGUCCUCGUAAAACCUAUGUUAUAAACCUUAAAGACAGCACAAAUAGUACCCUUCCUGUGAGGCAGGCCCUGGAAAAACUGUAUGUUUUCUCCUUUUCACUUUGAGGAUAUUACGGCAUUUACUACACUAUGAGUCAUCAUCAGCUUCCCUGCUAGACUGCGCACUUCGUAAGAACUGUAUCUUAUUAUUCGUGGCAUCCCCAGCACUGUACCUGACACACAAGAGGGACUCGAUCACACAGUCACUCUUCAUCACAGCUGGAGAAUCUGAAUUUACGAGUAUCUUGCAUCAAAACGCUGCCUCAGAGAGAACAGAAAGUGAAAAUACAGAUUCCUGAAAUCAUACAAUAAGAGUAAAUGGGGCAUAGGAUUGGACAGUUAAGAAGAUGGGUGCACCAAGCAAGUGGUAUGCAGUAAUUAAGGUAAAUACUGGGUUUUGAGAACAAUCACCAAAAAUCCAAUCUCUCAUGCCCAUAUCCCUCCAUUUCCACUUGCAGGGAUGAAACACAAAUGUUUCCUGUACAAACUUUCAGCAAGUUAACGGUCACCUUCAUCAUUUUUCUAAGCUUUUUAGUCUAAUUACCAAAAUAGAGAAGAAGGCUGGGAUUCAGGGUGGAGGCCUUGCUGGAAAUAAAGAAAUGUGCAUCUGGCCAAGCUAUGCCUGGUCCUCUCUCUCAGGAAAGUAAGUCAGGGAAGGGGAGCAGGAAGGUGACGAUGGGCACCGCCAACAUCCCGACCUUCCACAUCACUGGCAGGGAGGGGGUGAAGCAUGGGGCAUGGACAGACCACCCAAGUGGCAGACAGGAGCCUUGGGCUCUAAUACUGGCCACAUUGCCUUCUGAUGGCGUAGAUGAACCAUGUAACCUUGACUUAAAUUUUCAACUUGUGAUAUAUGGAGAG
This 1384-nucleotide long non-coding RNA is filed under the name Homo sapiens (human). RNAcentral's name for it is "HSALNT0342546". The record is from RNAcentral. Lineage: Eukaryota; Metazoa; Chordata; Mammalia; Primates; Hominidae.